GAUCGGUACUCCAGCAGGUCGGGGUCGGCCUCUGUGUUUGGCCGUCCAGUUGCAGGUGCGGGAGGUGUCAUAACUUUGUAUAUAGUAGAGGGAGUGACUGCGUCCGUCGUCGUACUCGACUGAACUCUUACUACAGACCUGAAACCUACUCUACUAGGUUGUUUGGUGCGGUGCGUGUUGUUGGGUCUAGGUCGUCUUAGGUUAGGGGAGGGAGUACGAGAAGUAAGACAAGACCUACCAGGUCACAGCAGCAGGAGACGAGCCGGAGCCGCCUAUCGGUUGUCUAGGUAGUCACUCAUCCCAUUUGCGUCGUCGUUUAAUCGAUCCAAGGAGAGCAGGAAAAUGAGCCUCGCUCCUAGUAUAGUAGUAUAGUUGAAGUCACAUCUUUAUAACGGAGGCUAGUAGACGCUCAGACGCACUAGGACACGAAAGUCUGCGUCGUCUUUAGCAAAACUCCGUACCGGCUCGUGCGCCAACGGCGGCACGACGUCUCCCGUCCGCGGUGCCACUAGGUUCUUCAGCGAAGAGACCCGGUCCAAGGACGGUUCCACCUCCGGGAGUUCAGGCUCGAGUUCGCGUACGUCACGAAGGAGUCCCUGCGGCUGCGCUCCUACCUCUCCCCGCUCUUGCUCUACGAGUCGGUUGACCACAGCCUCCAGUCCCUGCAGCGGAUGUCGCAGCUCUAGUAGUAGCUGUGCCGGUUGUAGAACCGGUCCCUCUGGUCGUCUGGCGGCAGGGAGGAGCCGCGGUAUAGGUUCCCGCGGACAAUGGGGCAGGUGACGUUCGCAGACAUGUCGUAACCCUUUUCUUAGCUAGUCCACUGUCGCUCUCAACCCCGUUAGAAGUCUCUCAAGCGCUUUAUGUCGUAAAGAAGAUCAUGACCGGACUUACUCUGCUCUGUGUCAUACCUACUCUUGCUCUCAUACGCGCGUUCUUCUGACUGCGAGGGUCUAAAACCCCUGCUGCAGCUACAGUAACCGAAACUGUCGCUUUAGUUGGUCCAGUUCCUACUUGACGAACUGAGCCUCUUGUUCCUGGAGUGACAGUAGAGGGAACAACCAGGUCCCCCCCGUCCCUUUAGUUGGUAACGGUCCUUCCAGAUAUUAGAACAGCGGUUUUUCGUAAAGUUGAGGACGCGUACCUAUACGUAGAGUGUCGUUAAAUGUCAGAUACCACGUGACUUCCUAUAGCAAUUUCCCCGGUACCCCUCAGUUCUGAAGCUUCUUGAUCCUUGUUACUCGCUCUACCUUUAAUAUUUCUUCUAGGUGUCAAAAGAGUUCCUAUUUUCCAUGGACCAUCAGAAUCUACUACAGACCUCUUAGCUUCUGACCCUAUACCAGGUUCGACGGAAAGGACUACACUUUUUACCUUCGUCUUAACGAGACUGUUGAGCGUUGAGUCGUCAAAGGUUAGUGGGGUUACGUUCUUUUUAUUAGGUCCUCCAUUUCGAGGAAUUGUUGCUGCUUUCAUAUCUCAAUAAGUUAUCUUUCCGUAAGGGAAGGAUACAGGAGGUACCGUCUCUACUAGACCUAUCGAAGUCUCUUGAUCCGUUCCGGGAACGUAAUUUUCCAUUACCGAACGGAGAACGUUAACAUCAGUACCCUCCAAAGGAAAGUUUCUUAGAGUCCUAGUGGCUCACCUCUUCUUACCAACGGUCGUAUUUGACCCUACGUUACUUCUUGCUCCCACUGUAGUCUCGGUAUGACCUGGAUUCAAUGAUACUAGACAGUUCAUUAGACUUCCACACGAAAAACAUGUAGUGUAGUAAGGGUCUUCUGAUACGUCAGGGCCAUCCGGAAGAAUGUUUCAACACCUAAAGUCUCCCAAAGUAUGGCUUGCACGUACCUGCGAGGGAACUUCUUUGACGCGAGCCCAUACACCUUCUUGACCGGGUCGCGACGAACUAGGAUUAACUUUUCUUCUCGAGGUCCACGUAGUCCUGGCAAUUCCAUGUACUGCACAACGCGCUGACCCCUUAACCCGCUCGAGCUUCUCUUCCCAAGAACUUUCUGACGUCAAGGUCUCUACUUCACCUCUGGAGUAUAAGGUUACUUUACUCUCGAAUGUCUCACCAAGAGAUACUGAGACAAACGCACUUCCAGCCACAACGAUACGGUUUAGACGUGUGGAACGACUAGAAGUUACGUCGAGCCGAUCUUUCCUUGCAGAAGAGAAAGGCUCCGAACUUAAUGGACGCCUAUGAGAUGAAACUACCGUACUCUCCCUCUACCGUCGAUGGACGUCUCUAGCCGGUCUACCAUGUAGACUCCAUGGAACCGAACUUUCCACCGUGUAUACAUGAAGGACGAAGGCAGUCAUUAGAGUGUUUGAACGUAUGAAAACUACGUUCUCUACGGCAUCACCUUCGCGAGGGAUAACUAGAGAACUCGUAGAGCUGUGACUUCGUACAAGUAUAGAUGUUCCAGCUCAGUACCAGGCACACCUUCUGAUGGUAGGUCUCGUUGGACUUCAGAGAGAAGUAUAAUGGACCGUCGGUUGUGGGGUUUCGUUACCCUUCCUCGUUAACUGUCUUACCUUCUCUUGGGGAGGACCACGAAACCCUUCGUGAUGGCCUCGCAGUUUGUCGACCUUUAACAGCCCCGCACGCUCCUGCUCAAGCCCCACGGGUUGCUGGACGUAGAAGGACUAGACGUGGAGGAGGGCGUGUUGGAGUCUGCCGACUUUUAAUCAACAGGAUUAGACGACUUACUACUUCUGGGGUACGGUAAUGAACCCUCGACCGACUGCAAGGACUUACACAACCUUUAUCCCCAGUUCAGUAUGUGACCGCGCUGGUACUGGACGGGAAGACCACCCAAAGGUCUGGACGUGUUAAACCACGAGGUGCUAGACCUAUAGCUCCUCACCUAUAACCUCCUACCACGGUACGGUUCCGAGUCCUAUGAUUGAGAGACGUUCACGUGGUUCGACUUCUGUGAAGGUGUUCCUAACGUCGUAGACUUCCUUGAAUUCUUCGACUUUCACUAUCGCUACGGGCUCAACCUAGUUCAUAAUACGAUGGACGAGGUGUUCCGGCCUGCGCUCCAACAGGAGUCCAGCUCACUCCUCCUGAAACUCGUACAUGUCUAGGGGUUCAUACUGUACAUUCCUCACCUGUUACCCCUCGCCUUCGUUAAAUUUAAGUGACGGUAGAAUGUACGACCCCGGACCACCUUGCCUAUAGAAGCUUUCCACAUGUCCAGAGAGGACGUUCGAUGACUGGACUAUGGCUGUUUGACAGUUAACACGAAUAUCCAAAUACAGCGAUGAUAAACAAUACAUGAAUAUAUACACAUUUGUGUCAUAAACUAUGGGUCUCAUUUACACAUAUGACACGUUGAGGCUACAUGUACUGUGCCAAACAUUAGACUUAUUUUUUUAUUUCCCGACCCUCCUCUACUCUGUGGGGCUUAACGCCGGUGCCUCACGAGACAAGAGUGUAAAAACAUUA
This 3451-nucleotide ribosomal RNA is filed under the name Triticum aestivum (bread wheat). RNAcentral's name for it is "partial small subunit ribosomal RNA". The record is from RNAcentral. Lineage: Eukaryota; Viridiplantae; Streptophyta; Magnoliopsida; Poales; Poaceae.